RNAcentral lists this ribosomal RNA (327 nucleotides) under uncultured bacterium. Its description in RNAcentral is "bacterial SSU rRNA". It matches the Rfam family "Bacterial small subunit ribosomal RNA", at positions 28 to 334 of the family's 1533-position model. The record is from RNAcentral.
GACGAACGCUGGCGGCGCGCCUAACACAUGCAAGUCGAACGGAGCUUGCUUGUCAGAUCCUUUCGGGGUGACGACUUGUAAGCUUAGUGGCGAACGGGUGAGUAACACGUGAGUAACCUGCCCCAGAGUGGGGGACAACAGUUGGAAACGACUGCUAAUACCGCAUAAGCCCACAGAACCGCAUGGUUCUGGGGGAAAAGGAGCAAUUCGCUUUGGGAUGGACUCGCGUCCGAUUAGCUGGAUGGUGAGGUAACGGCCCACCAUGGCGACGAUCGGUAGCCGGACUGAGAGGUUGAUCGGCCACAUUGGGACUGAGACACGGCCCAG